This 359-nucleotide unclassified non-coding RNA is filed under the name Marasmius griseoroseus. RNAcentral's name for it is "partial contains 5.8S ribosomal RNA, internal transcribed spacer 2, and large subunit ribosomal RNA". The record is from RNAcentral. Lineage: Eukaryota; Fungi; Basidiomycota; Agaricomycetes; Agaricales; Marasmiaceae.
CGCACCUUGCGCCUCUUGGUAUUCCGAGAGGCAUGCCUGUUUGAGUGUCAUUAAAUUCUCAACCUCAAAGACUUUUUGUUGAUGAGGCUUGGAUGUGGAGGCUUUGCAGGCUCUUCUAGAGUCAGCUCCUCUGAAAUACAUUAGUGGAAACUGUUUGUAGUCCGCAUUGGUGUGAUAAUUAUCAGCGCUAUUGUGGCUACAAGCUUGUGUAGUGUUCGUUUGGAAAGUGCACUAAUACUGCUCUCUCUGCUUCACUUGACCUACGCAAGUAUAGUAUUCGCUUCAAACCGUCCUAAGUUAUUGGACAAUUACUUGAUUAUUUUGACCUCAAAUCAGGUAGGAUUACCCGCUGAACUUAA